AAUCAACGCUGGCGGCGCGCUUAACACAUGCAAGUCGCACGAGAAAGGGAGCAAUCCUGAGUAAAGUGGCGUACGGGUGAGUAACACGUGGGAAUCUACCUCUUGGCGGGGAAUAACCCUGGGAAACCGGGGCUAAUACCGCAUAAGCUCGUGAGAGGAAAGCAGCAAUGCACCGAGAGAGGAGCCCGCGGCCGAUUAGCUAGUUGGCGGGGUAAUGGCUCACCAAGGCGAAGAUCGGUAGCCGGCCUGAGAGGGCACACGGCCACACUGGCACUGAAACACGGGCCAGACUCCUACGGGAGGCAGCAGUGGGGAAUCUUGCACAAUGGGGGAAACCCUGAUGCAGCGACGCCGCGUGAGCGAUGAAGCCCUUCGGGGUGUAAAGCUCUUUCGACAGGAACGAUAAUGACGGUACCUGGAGAAGAAGCUGCGGCUAACUACGUG
This 444-nucleotide ribosomal RNA is filed under the name uncultured bacterium. Its description in RNAcentral is "partial 16S ribosomal RNA". It matches the Rfam family "Bacterial small subunit ribosomal RNA", at positions 29 to 507 of the family's 1533-position model. The record is from RNAcentral.